CUUCUCAAAGGCACCCUCCCCAGGCUAUCCCUCUUCAGAACACCCCUCCUGGUCACCCAAGGACUGAAGAUGUUCCAGAUAGUCAAAGCUCCAUCAGCCUGAGUCCCUGAUUGGCAAACAGCUCAACUCUACUUGCGAUAUCAGUAUUUGUGCUUCUGGUCCCAGUCCCACU
This is a long non-coding RNA of Diceros bicornis minor, 172 nucleotides long. RefSeq lists it as uncharacterized. The transcript is spliced from 3 exons. Lineage: Eukaryota; Metazoa; Chordata; Mammalia; Perissodactyla; Rhinocerotidae. The record is from RefSeq and is a predicted model, not a curated record.